UACGUAGGGUCCGAGCGUUGUCCGGAAUCAUUGGGCGUAAAGAGCGUGUAGGCGGCUUGUUAAGUCUUGCGUGAAAUCUCGGGGCUCAACCCCGAGCGGUCGUGAGAAACUGGCAGGCUAGAGUGCGGGAGAGGAGAGUGGAAUUCCUGGUGUAGCGGUGAAAUGCGCAGAUAUCAGGAAGGACACCCGUGGCGAAGGCGGCUCUCUGGAACGCAACUGACGCUGAGACGCGAAAGCGUGGGGAGCAAACAGG
RNAcentral lists this ribosomal RNA (253 nucleotides) under uncultured bacterium. Its description in RNAcentral is "partial 16S ribosomal RNA". It matches the Rfam family "Bacterial small subunit ribosomal RNA", at positions 524 to 776 of the family's 1533-position model. The record is from RNAcentral.